GACGAACGCUGGCGGCGUGCUUAACACAUGCAAGUCGAACGGGAUCCAAAGGCUUUUUGUUUUUGGUGAGGGUGGCGAACGGGUGAGUAACACGUGAGUAACCUGCCCCCUUCUUUUGGAUAACCGCAUGAAAGUGUGGCUAAUACAGGAUAUUCCAGGCUGGUCGCAUGAUUGGUUUGGGAAAUGGUUUGGUCUGGUGGGGGAUGGGCUCGCGGCCUAUCAGCUUGUUGGUGGGGUGAUGGCCUACCAAGGCGGUGACGGGUAGCCGGCCUGAGAGGGUGGGCGGUCACACUGGGACUGAGAUACGGCCCAGACUCCUACGGGAGGCAGCAGUGGGGGAUUUUGCACAAUGGGCGCAAGCCUGAUGCAGCGACGCCGCGUGAGGGAUGAAGGCCUUCGGGUUGUAAACCUCUUUCGCUGGGUUGAAAGGCCAUGCUUUGGGUGUGGUUGAUUUGAACUGGUAAAGAAGUACCGGCUAACUACGU
Molecule: ribosomal RNA, 485 nt
Filed under: uncultured bacterium
Lineage: Bacteria
Description: partial 16S ribosomal RNA
Rfam family: Bacterial small subunit ribosomal RNA
Source: RNAcentral